GGGUUCUUCAGUGUUUCUUCAAUGUUUAUCAAUGGAGUUUAUCGUGUUUUCACCCUAACAGAUACUACAAAUCUAGAGUAUUCUAUGCUCUUCCACAAAUAUCUUUCUUAAAUAUCUAGCACUCUCUAAUAUCUAGAUCUUUCCUAAAUACAAAUAUCAAAUAACUACACUAUCCUUUUCUAGAUUCUUCUACCUAGAAUACAUAGAUAUUUCUUCAAGAUUAUCCUAUCUACUAGACUAUUCUAGAAACUUUACUAGAAAUCUAUGAUUCCAAAAAAUCUACAUUAAUAUUUUCACACUCCCCCUUAAAGUGAUUUUUUGAAAGCUACCCUAAACUUGUCACGGAAGAACUCAAACGAAGCUUUGAACCGAGCCUUGGUGAAAAUCUUAGCAGUUUUUGCAUAACUCCUCUUUUGCUUCUUUAAAUGAUAAAGAUUUUUCUUUUGUUAAUGACUGACCCUGCGGAGAUACUAGAAUAUGUAUUGGCAAAAUUUUCAUCUUUGUAGCGGACUAGCUUGAUAAUAGUCCUCGUUGGCCUUUGCAAAUCAUAUGAAUCACCUCUUUGCCAAGUUUCAUGUUGUUGGGUUUCUCAGAUUCCUCUUUCUCUUAUCUCUUCGACAACUAUAUUAUUCGGAGAAACACCUAUGAUAGGAAAGUAAGGAACUCCAAGAUUUCAUUUUUGUGUUACCUCUACUUCCAACACAACUCCAUGAUAUAAGGAAAUUUCAACAGUAUCAGCUACUUCAUUCAAGCUGGUGAUGAUCUGACCAUUAAUUUCCUUUGAAACCUCAUAACUAUCAGAGGGUUUACCACCAACUUCAUUUUCCAACUCCUCAAUAAACUGCCUAGCAUCUUCGGACAUUUCGAAAAUCAUGGGGUCUAUCUCUCUAUUUGAGAUUGAAAUUUCAGGGUCAGCUUCUUCAUUUAUUUGAUCUUUUGCUUUUUUAUCUACUUCUGGUAUUUUUUCCGCGCUAGUGAUUAACCUUGAUAUCGUAGAUGAUUGAUCAGAGACUUCAACUUCCAAUAUAUCUCCCUCAAUGUUUUCUUUGAAAAGGUCACCACUAAUAUGUAUAGUUUCAGACACUGCCUGCUCAGGUUCUAUUGCAAUAUUUUUCACGUUCAGACUUUUAUUGUCAAUUUCAAGAUCUACUUCUUUGAAUUCCUCGAUAGCAGCUACCACGCAUCUAGUCUGAACGUCUUCAGUAUCAUCUUGCUUCUUAUCAGUGUCUUCCUUCUUCACAUGAUGGAUUAUAUUAUAUCCGAUCCAAUCUCUUUCCAAAUUUAUGGAGGUCAAGACAUUUAUUACUCGACUCUCAGCUUGUAAGUAUCUUUUCCAACCUUCUUCUUCAAUAACUUUUUCAGUAUGAGUUAUGUUGCUCUCCGUGGCUCGGUAAUAUCUUUUUAUAUGUCCUGUUUUGCCAUAUCGAUAACAUCUGAGAGGUUUUUUAUAAUUGUUAAAAGACUCUUCAUUCUUUCCAGUUGAUACAAGCACGACCACGAAGGUGGACAUAUGUGAGAUGUAUUGAACCCGAGACUUAGAGUGUGCAAGUGAAGUGCAAAGGAGGGCCUAAAUAGACUCCAAAACAGUCCACACUCUACACUCCAAGGGCGCCUAAAGUGAAGUAUUUGACUAAGGGGUCUUUUGGACAUUUCACACUAUUUUUGUAACCUACUAUAAAUAGAACAUUUUAGGUCAUUUACUACUUAGAUUUUGAUGAAUAUUGAAAGUUGUAACACUUGAAACACUUUCUCUUGUGAGAAAGGGCCUCUGGGCCGAAACUAGGCAACAUAGAGUGUGGAUUUACUCUUGUUGGAUUCAUAGCUUGGAACGUUGGGUGCUUGAAGGAUUGAGGUCCCCCUUGUGUCCACCGAAGAGUGUAGGUGUUUGUAUGACAUGUUUUUAAGGGUCUUGGUAUUUUGAUUCAUACCUUGGUUCUUAGUAUAUGUAAUAUUGUAUGUCACACUAUUUAUCCUUUGUUUUCAUUGUAAUCUUGUAGUUUGUGUUCUUGUUAUUCAAACCGUGUGUUGUUGUUAUCAUCUUGUGUUUAUCUUGUUCUUGUUGUAUUGUUGUUGUUUUGGUGUUAAAAUACACCUUGUAUCUUGUAAUCCCUGUGUUGUUAUUGUUGGCCGAAAGUUGCUCUCAAAAGGGUCCUCGGGUUCUAGCUGAUUUGUGGAAUUUUUGAGUAGUUUUUUAGCCUUC
RNAcentral lists this long non-coding RNA (2200 nucleotides) under Capsicum annuum. RNAcentral's name for it is "long non-coding RNA (CANN_LNC019688)". Lineage: Eukaryota; Viridiplantae; Streptophyta; Magnoliopsida; Solanales; Solanaceae. The record is from RNAcentral.